GACGAACGCUGGCGGCGUGCUUAACACAUGCAAGUCGAACGGAAAGGCCCUGCUUUUGUGGGGUGCUCGAGUGGCGAACGGGUGAGUAACACGUGAGUAACCUGCCCUUGACUUUGGGAUAACUUCAGGAAACUGGGGCUAAUACCGGAUAGGAGCUCCUGCUGCAUGGUGGGGGUUGGAAAGUUUCGGCGGUUGGGGAUGGACUCGCGGCUUAUCAGCUUGUUGGUGGGGUAGUGGCUUACCAAGGCUUUGACGGGUAGCCGGCCUGAGAGGGUGACCGGCCACAUUGGGACUGAGAUACGGCCCAGACUCCUACGGGAGGCAGCAGUGGGGAAUAUUGAACAAUGGGCGGAAGCCUGAUGCAGCAACGCCGCGUGCGGGAUGACGGCCUUCGGGUUGUAAACCGCUUUCGCCUGUGACGAAGCGUGAGUGACGGUAAUGGGUAAAGAAGUACCGGCUAACUACGUG
Molecule: ribosomal RNA, 468 nt
Filed under: uncultured bacterium
Lineage: Bacteria
Description: partial 16S ribosomal RNA
Rfam family: Bacterial small subunit ribosomal RNA
Source: RNAcentral